CCUACGGGUGGCAGCAGUGGGGAAUAUUGCGCAAUGGCCGAAAGCCUGACGCAGCGACGCCGCGUGAGGGAUGAAGGUCUUCGGAUCGUUAACCUCUGUCAGCCGGGGAGAACGGUCACUGUGCUAAUCAGCAGUGAAUUUACGUUACCUGCAAGGGACGCACCGGCUAACUCCGUGCCCGCCGCCGCGGUAAUGCGGAGGGUGCGUGCGUUAAUCGGAAUUACUGGGCGUAAAGCGCUCGUAGGCGGGAUGUCAAGUCAAGGGGGAAAUCCGCGCGCUCAACGUGGGAACUGCAUUUGAAGCUGGCAAACUGGAGUGGGUGAGAGGAUAGUGGAAUGCGAGGUGUAGGAGUGAAAUCCGUAGAUAUCUCGAGGAACAUCAGUGGCGAAGGCGACUAGCCGGCACACAACUGACGCUGAGGAGCGAAAGCGUGGGUAGCAAACAGGAUUAGAUACCCGAGUAGUC
RNAcentral lists this ribosomal RNA (465 nucleotides) under uncultured bacterium. RNAcentral's name for it is "partial 16S ribosomal RNA". It matches the Rfam family "Bacterial small subunit ribosomal RNA", at positions 338 to 795 of the family's 1533-position model. The record is from RNAcentral.